AUGCGUUACCUCUACUUCCGCCCCAACGCGACAAGCCAGGCGCGCGCCUACCGCGACCAUCUCCUCGCCCACCUAGACCAAUGCGCAUCGCGGGCCCACCUGUCGGAGCUCCACGGACGGCUCAUCCGCGCCCACCUCGGCCCCGACCCCUCCGGUCGGCUCGUCGCCCUCCUCGCCUCCCCUGUGGCGAGGCAUGACAUGCCCUAUGCGCGCAGGGUGUUCGACAGAAUGGCCCAACCGACCGCCUUCGUCUGGAACUGCAUGAUUCGAGGGUACAACAGUUGCGACGCCCCUGCAGAUGCAUUGGCGUUGUUCAGGGCGAUGCUUCGGAGGAGAAUCUCUCCUGAUAAUUACACCAUGGCUGCGGUUGUGUCCUCGAGCGCUGCUUUCGCCAGCUGGAAGUCGAGGUCAACUGGGGACGCGGUACAUUCCUUUGUUCGCAAGACUGGCUUUGCAUCGGAUGUGUUCGUCAUGUCAGGCCUUGUUAAUUUCUAUGGCUCCUUCAGAAGUGUCGAUGAUGCAAGGAAGGUUUUUGAAGAUAUGGCCAAUCAGGAUGUGGUGUCGUGGACUCUGAUGAUCUCGGCUUUUGCACAGUGCAGUCAGUGGGAUGAUGCGUUAAGGUUGCUUGCUGAGAUGCAAUCACAAGGCACUAAGCCUAACAAGGUCACCGUUAUAAGUCUCCUUUCUGCAUGCGGCCAAGUGCAGGAUGUUGACAGAGGCCGGUGGGUGUAUGCACGCAUUGAUGAGUACGGCAUUGAGGUUGAUUUGGAUGUCAGGAAUGCACUUUUAAGCAUGUACAUGAAAUGCGGAUGCAUGUCGGAUGCGUUGAAAACAUUUCAGGUCAUGCCAAUAAGAAAUACUAAAUCAUGGAACACGUUGAUUGAUGGGUUUGUGCAAAAUGGGAAGCAUAAGGAAGCACUAAGAAUGUUUGAAGAGAUGUUAUCAGAUGGUAUAGUUCCUGAUGUGAUUACCCUCGUAAGUCUCUUAUCGUCAUGUGCUCAGCUUGGUGAUCUUCAGAAAGGGAGAUACUUCCACAAUUAUAUCAAAGAUCAUGGGAUCCGCUGUGACAUCAUCCUUCAUAAUUCUUUGAUUAACAUGUAUGCUAAAUGUGGCGAUAUGGCUGCAGCAGAAAUUGUUUUUGAAAAUAUGACACAAAGGGAUACCGUGUCCUGGACAGCUAUGGUUUGUGGUUAUGUGAAAGGACUUCAGUUUACAACGGCCUUCAGUUUAUUUGAAGAGAUGAAGGUUGUAGAUCUUGUGUCAAGUGAAAUGGCACUGGUUAGUCUACUUUCUGCUUGUUCCCAGCUAGGAGCACUUGAUAAAGGGAGAGAGAUACACACUUAUAUAGAAGAGAAGAGUGUAACAACAGACGUAUGGCUUGAAAGUGCCCUGGUGGAUAUGUAUGCAAAAUGUGGUUGCACUGAUACAGCUUCUCAAAUAUUCAGUACAAUGCAGCACAAGCGAACCCUCACAUGGAAUGCUAUGAUUGGAGGUCUUGCCAGCAAUGGACAGGGAAAAGAAGCAGUGGAGCACUUUGAACAAAUGCUGAAGCUAAGAGACCCAAAGCCUGAUGCUAUCACUCUAAAGGUGGUUCUUGGUGCCUGUGCACAUGUAGGAAUGGUUGAUGAGGGGCUGCAUUACUUCUAUUUGAUGUUGAGCCUUGGUAUUGUCCCUGAUAUUGAGCACUAUGGUUGCGUAGUAGACCUCCUGAGUAGAGCUGGGCUGCUAGACGAAGCAUAUAGUUUUAUCAAGAAGAUGCCAAUACAGCCCAAUCCAGUAAUUUGGGGAUCACUUCUUGCAGCUUGUAGAGUUCAUCACAAAAUGGAACUAGCAAAGAGAAUUGGACAGCACAUCAUCGAAUUAGCUCCUAAUGACGUGGGAGCACAUGUCCUAAUUUCGAACUUACAUGCUGAAGAAGGUCAGUGGGAUGAUGUAGAGCAAGUAAGAGGGCUGAUGGAAAGCAGAGGUGUAGAGAAAUCAUCUGGUCGUAGCUCCAUCCAAGUCUAG
RNAcentral lists this ribosomal RNA (2007 nucleotides) under Triticum aestivum (bread wheat). RNAcentral's name for it is "partial small subunit ribosomal RNA". The record is from RNAcentral. Lineage: Eukaryota; Viridiplantae; Streptophyta; Magnoliopsida; Poales; Poaceae.